RNAcentral lists this small RNA (556 nucleotides) under Pongo abelii (Sumatran orangutan). Its description in RNAcentral is "retained intron". The record is from RNAcentral. Lineage: Eukaryota; Metazoa; Chordata; Mammalia; Primates; Hominidae.
AAUGCGUUCACUCGGCGCAAACAUGGCUGCGGCCCUGCGCGCCGCGGGCGUCCUGCUCCGCGAUCCGCUGGCGUCCACCAGCUGGAGGGUCUGUCAGCCAUGGAGGUGGAAGUCAGGUGCAUCUGCAGCGGCCGCUGCCACAGAAACAGCCCAGCAUGCCCAGGGUGCAAAACCUCAAGUUCAACCGCAGAAGAGGAAGCCGAAAACUGGAAUAUUAAUGCUAAACAUGGGAGGCCCUGAAACUCUCGGAGAUGUUCACGACUUCCUUCUGAGACUCUUCUUGGACCGGGACCUCAUGACGCUUCCUAUUCAGAAGUGAGAUAUAUAUAAACACCUUGAUUAUAACCUUGGCACUACAUUGACAUGUGUCUCUCAAUUCUGUAGUUUCAAACCAGUAAAUAGUUUUAAUGCGUAUCUGGUAAUGGUUAAACAGCAGCAUUGUUUUCUAUUGGAUAUCAGAAGGAUAUGAUAUCAGAAAAUUGCAGGGGGAGAGAGCAAAUAAGUUAGUGAGGAUUCUCCUUGAGCUCUUUGCUCCCCAGAGCCCUGGAAGUUGCAG